Molecule: ribosomal RNA, 475 nt
Filed under: uncultured bacterium
Lineage: Bacteria
Description: SSU rRNA
Rfam family: Bacterial small subunit ribosomal RNA
Source: RNAcentral
AGGACGAACGCUGGCGGCGUGCUUAACACAUGCAAGUCGAGCGGAAAGGCCCUUCGGGGUACUCGAGCGGCGAACGGGUGAGUAACACGUGAGCAACCUGCCCCUGGCUCUGGGAUAGCCUCCGGAAAACGGGGAUUAAUACCGGAUAUUCACUGCUUCCUGCAUGGGGGGUGGUGGAAAGUUUUUCGGCUAGGGCGGGGCUCGCGGCCUAUCAGCUUGUUGGGGGGUGACGGCCCACCAAGGCGACGACGGGUAGCCGGCCUGAGAGGGCGACCGGCCACACUGGGACUGAGACACGGCCCAGACUCCUACGGGAGGCAGCAGUGGGAAUAUUGCGCAAUGGGCGGAAGCCUGACGCAGCGACGCCGCGUGCGGGAUGAAGGCCUUCGGGUUGUAAACCGCUUUCACCAGGGACGAAGCGAGAGUGACGGUACCUGGGGAAGAAGCGCCGGCUAACGUACGUGCCAGCAGCCGC